RNAcentral lists this long non-coding RNA (730 nucleotides) under Nicotiana benthamiana. RNAcentral describes it as "long non-coding RNA (NBEN_LNC020863)". The record is from RNAcentral. Lineage: Eukaryota; Viridiplantae; Streptophyta; Magnoliopsida; Solanales; Solanaceae.
CAACAAUCAUCAACAUUCUUUUAGUUAAAGAAAAAUGUAAAGAAGAAUGCAAAAUAGACAGAUGUACAAGUUCAUCCAAUUACUGUUGACAUACUUAGUAUUUCUGGAACUACAACUUAACAAUUUGAUGGAACUUCUAUCCUACUCCAACUACAAUUCUUAGAGAUAAUUAUCAAUUUAGCAGAGCUUCUAAAGCAGCUGAUUGCAGUAAAACAAUUUCAAAUGCUCCUCUGUUUAGUUUUACAUCCAAUUUCAAGUUUUAUACUCCAACACAACAUGAAAAACUCAUGUUCUUGAGAAUUCAGUGAUGACUUCUCAUGCUAUUGAGCCCUAAUUUUUGCUUUGACGGAAUGUUGACCGAGGCCGAGGUAGAACCUCCUAUUUUAAGAGAGUUAACCAAAAUUUUAAUAGAAUCAAAAUCAUAAACUAGAAACAAACAAAAUUAGAGAGGAAGUAACUUACCAUUUCAAGCCGUAAUUAAGAUACCCACAUUCAAAUUUCCCGACUCAAAACACCAAUCGACAACCAUACCAGUUGAUGAUUUCAAGCUUAAUCAAGCAACCACCAUGAAAGAAAAAGAAAGCAGAUUUCUUUUGGUUUUUCUGACCACGUAUAUUGAGCAUUUAGAAUAGCUAGAGUUGACUGAAAUUGGGGAAAGUGAAUGAAAGAGAAAAACAAAAGAGGAACAUAUGGGGGAAAAGGGAAUAAAAAUGAGGGAAGCAUUGCCACG